This 72-nucleotide transfer RNA is filed under the name Patescibacteria group bacterium. RNAcentral describes it as "tRNA-Gly". It matches the Rfam family "tRNA". Rfam says of the family: Transfer RNA (tRNA) molecules are approximately 80 nucleotides in length. Their secondary structure includes four short double-helical elements and three loops (D, anti-codon, and T loops). The record is from RNAcentral.
GCGGCGGUAGUUCAGUGGUAGAAUACCUCCUUCCCAAGGAGAAGGUCGCCGGUUCAAGUCCGGUCCGCCGCU